This 452-nucleotide ribosomal RNA is filed under the name Clostridioides difficile. Its description in RNAcentral is "bacterial LSU rRNA". It matches the Rfam family "Bacterial large subunit ribosomal RNA", at positions 764 to 1216 of the family's 2925-position model. The record is from RNAcentral. Lineage: Bacteria; Bacillati; Bacillota; Clostridia; Peptostreptococcales; Peptostreptococcaceae.
UCGUGGGGGACCGAAGCCGAGAGCAUGGAAAAGCUCGGGGAGGACGUGUGGGUAGCGGUGAGAAUCCAAGCAAUCCCGGAGAUAGAAGCUUCUCGCCGACAUAGCUUUAGGGCUAGCCUCAAGGUGAGAGAUACGGAGGUAGAGCACUGAAUGACCUAGGGGGUAUUGCACCUACGGAAGACUAUCAAACUCCGAAUGCCGUCAUCUUAUACUUAGGAGUCAGACUGUGGGUGAUAAGAUUCAUAGUCGAAAGGGCAACAGCCCAGAUCGUCAGCUAAGGUCCCUAAAUGUAAGUUAAGUGGUAAAGGAUGUGGGAUUGCACCGCCAACCAGGAUGUUGGCUUAGUAUCAGCCACUCAUUCAAAGAGUGCCUAAUAGCCCCCUGGUCGAGUUAUCCUUCCCCGAAUGUGUCCUGGGCCAAACCUUACACCCACAGCUUCCGCAUCAGUUAUG